GACGAACCGUGCAAACGUUAUUCGGAAUCACUGGGCUUACAGGGUGCGUAGGCGGCUCAACAAGUCAGGUGUGAAAGCCCCCGGCUCAACCGGGGAACUGCGCUUGAAACUGUUAGGCUCGAGUCAGCUAGAGGUACACGGAACUUCCAGUGGAGCGGUGAAAUGUGUUGAUAUUGGAAGGAACACCGGAGGCGAAAGCGGUGUACUGGGGCUGGUCUGACGCUGAGGCACGAAAGCCAGGGGAGCGAACGGG
RNAcentral lists this ribosomal RNA (253 nucleotides) under uncultured bacterium. RNAcentral describes it as "partial 16S ribosomal RNA". It matches the Rfam family "Bacterial small subunit ribosomal RNA", at positions 524 to 776 of the family's 1533-position model. The record is from RNAcentral.